AGAGUUUGAUCCUGGCUCAGGAUGAACGCUGGCGGCGUGCUUAACACAUGCAAGUCGAACGAAGCAAUCUUGAAACCUAGUGAUGGAUUGACUGAGUGGCGGACGGGUGAGUAACGCGUGGGUAACCUGCCUCAUACAGGGGGACAACAGUUAGAAAUGACUGCUAAUACCGCAUAACCCGCUAGGGCCGCAUGGCCCGGACGGAAAAGGAGCAAUCCGGUAUGAGAUGGACCCGCGUCUGAUUAGCUGGUUGGUGGGGUAACGGCCUACCAAGGCAACGAUCAGUAGCCGAACUGAGAGGUUGACCGGCCACAUUGGGACUGAGACACGGCCCAAACUCCUACGGGAGGCAGCAGUGGGGAAUAUUGCACAAUGGGGGAAACCCUGAUGCAGCGACGCCGCGUGAGUGAAGAAGGUUUUCGGAUUGUAAACUUCUUUUAUUAAGGACGAAAAAUGACGGUACCUAAUGAAUAAGCUCCGGCUAACUACGUGCCAGCAGCCGCGGUAAUACGUAGGGAGCAAGCGUUGUCCGGAUUUACUGGGUGUAAAGGGUGCGUAGGCGGCUUUGCAAGUCAGAUGUGAAAUCUAUGGGCUCAACCCAUAAACUGCACUUGAAACUGUAGAGCUUGAGUGAAGUAGAGGCAGGCGGAAUUCCCCGUGUAGCGGUGAAAUGCGUAGAGAUGGGGAGGAACACCAGUGGCGAAGGCGGCCUGCUGGGCUUUAACUGACGCUGAGGCACGAAAGCGUGGGUAGCAAACAGGAUUAGAUACCCUGGUAGUCCACGCUGUAAACGAUGAUUACUAGGUGUGGGGGGUCUGACCCCUUCCGUGCCGGAGUUAACACAAUAAGUAAUCCACCUGGGGAGUACGGCCGCAAGGUUGAAACUCAAAGGAAUUGACGGGGGCCCGCACAAGCAGUGGAGUAUGUGGUUUAAUUCGAAGCAACGCGAAGAACCUUACCAGGUCUUGACAUCCAACUAACGAAGUAGAGAUACAUUAGGUGCCCCUCGGGGAAAGUUGAGACAGGUGGUGCAUGGUUGUCGUCAGCUCGUGUCGUGAGAUGUUGGGUUAAGUCCCGCAACGAGCGCAACCCUUGCUAUUAGUUGCUACGCAAGAGCACUCUAAUAGGACUGCCGUUGACAAAACGGAGGAAGGUGGGGACGACGUCAAAUCAUCAUGCCCCUUAUGACCUGGGCUACACACGUACUACAAUGGAUGUUAACAGAGGGAAGCAAGACAGUGAUGUGGAGCAAACCCCUAAAAACAUUCUCAGUUCAGAUUGCAGGCUGCAACCCGCCUGCAUGAAGAUGGAAUUGCUAGUAAUCGCGGAUCAGAAUGCCGCGGUGAAUACGUUCCCGGGCCUUGUACACACCGCCCGUCACACCAUGGGAGCCGGUAAUACCCGAAGUCAGUAGUCCAACCUCGUGAGGACGCCGCCGAAGGUAGGAUUGGCGACUGGGGUGAAGUCGUAACAAGGUA
This 1478-nucleotide ribosomal RNA is filed under the name metagenome. RNAcentral describes it as "bacterial SSU rRNA". It matches the Rfam family "Bacterial small subunit ribosomal RNA". The record is from RNAcentral.